Molecule: long non-coding RNA, 1529 nt
Organism: Rhea pennata
Lineage: Eukaryota; Metazoa; Chordata; Aves; Rheiformes; Rheidae
Exons: 4
Source: RefSeq, a predicted model, not a curated record
CUUUUCAAGCUGGUGGCAUUCUUCCCUUAUUGGAUAGGGAAGAAUUGCUAUAACUAUUCUAGGAAAAAAAAAAAAAAGAAAAAGAAAAAGAAAAGAAUUACCACUAAUUAACAUUGUGCAAUUGAAUGAAUUUGAAAUACUUAUAGCACAGGUGACCCUAACCCUCGCCUGCUAGCCAAACUGUCGUGUUCUCUUUCCUGUACGCAGCAGUUGUGCCAUUCUGUUACAGCAGCAUUGCCCUCUGGAUACCUGUCACAGGUCCUAACACAACUUCUGGCACAGUGAUCCUGAAGCCUUUGAGGAGACAACAGUCCUAGGAUGAAAGCAAUUCUGCAUUCAAAACUCACCAGGAACUCACACUAUGUCAAAGGCCUUUUCUAGGAUGUCACUAGGAACACCUAUCAAGAUUUCUGUAAGGGUUAUGGAGAAGUAUUUUCAAGUCAAGCUGAAUUGAAGUCAAUGGCAAUGAAAUCUCAUGGCGUGGAGACGAGAGCGGUUUUCGCAGUUGGGGCUCAUCUGUGGUACAGAGAUGAUGCCAGCUAUGCUGUGAUACAAACACUCCAUUCUGACUCGGUCCAUACAACUUGGCCAAGCAAUUCUCUGGCUCCUCCACCCAAAGCUGGGACUGCCCAUACAGCAUGAAGCAAGGGGAAGCAGGUCGAGGAUUCUGGGCUCAGAAUUCCGGUGUCCCUGACUCUCCAGUUAGCAAUUUGUGUUACGCUCAUCACCAGGACAGGGCUGCAGCUGAAUGAUGAAUGAAGUGAUCCACGCACCUGAGAGUUUUUCAAGCACCUGCAACUCCCACUGGUGUCAACAGGCAUCUGGGGCACCUAGGGUUGGGGCAGUAAAGCCUGACUCCGCACGGUACUGAGAGCUGCCAGGGCUAGCAGCCUCCUCGGCCCCGGGCGCUGGGGUCUGCGCUCUGCCGAGGGAGCGCGGGGAGCGAAGCCUCCGAAAAAUGCUGGUUAUGUGGAUGGAUGCUUGUGGUGGGAGACCGAUCUCCGAGCCACGGGGCCGGGUGCCUGCGCCGCAGCGAAGCGGCCCGGACGCGGAGCGGGGAGGGACGGAGCCGCAGCGCGGCAGAGGCGCGCAGACGGCUGCAGGAGCGCGGCGAGGCCGGAGCCUGCUCCCGAGCGCGUUUCGCCCCCUCGCCGGCUACGAACUGCUGGCUUGUUCCUGCAGCUCGGAGGAGCGAACGAGCCCAGAAGAACGCCAAGAGCAGGGACUGCCGCGGCUCCACCGGGACGAGCCGCUGCUUUUCAUUUAACUUUUCAGUUUGGUUAAUGUUUUACCGCGGCCCGCAAGCAAAGCCCCGUCGGAGCGCCUCCGUCCUCCACUUUAAAACCGGACGGGCACCUGAGGCGUACGCCCUGCACCUGCCUCCAGCUGCCUCGCCGCCUGCUCCGCGCCGGCGUUUCUGCAAGCGUCUCACGGUUUUGCUUCCUGUGAGCGAGCGCUCGGGCCUUUCCCCCGCCGCCGAGCGCGCAGCUGGCCCGCGAGCCCCGCGCGGCCGGCCGCGCUGGCCCAGG